Small nuclear RNA from Gorilla gorilla gorilla (western lowland gorilla), 211 nucleotides. Its record names the gene U2. It matches the Rfam family "U2 spliceosomal RNA". From Rfam's summary of the family: U2 is a small nuclear RNA (snRNA) component of the spliceosome (involved in pre-mRNA splicing). Complementary binding between U2 snRNA (in an area lying towards the 5' end but 3' to hairpin I) and the branchpoint sequence (BPS) of the intron results the bulging out of an unpaired adenosine, on the BPS, which initiates a nucleophilic attack at the intronic 5' splice site, thus starting the first of two transesterification reactions that mediate splicing. The record is from Ensembl. NCBI's taxonomy places the organism in Eukaryota, Metazoa, Chordata, Mammalia, Primates, Hominidae.
AUCACUUCUCAGCCUUUUGGCUAAGAUCAAGUGUAGAAUUUGCUCUUAACUGGUUAAACACAAGGUCUUCCAAGUCAGGCUGCCUUGGUUCAAAUUACACUUCUAUCAGGGAUGAGGUGUGACAAGGGCCAGCACACUAUGACCACCAAGGCAAAUCCCACCCACAGACUGCAUCUGUAAAUAAAGUUUUAUUGGAACACAGUCAGGUCCA